UGAGCUUGUUCCAUUGUUUGAGAAAGCUGGACCUAUAUGGGAUCUUCGUUUAAUGAUGGAUCCACUUACUGGUCUCAACAGAGGUUAUGCCUUUGUCACUUUUUGUACAAAAGAAGCAGCACAAGAGGCUGUUAAACUGGGUCUCACAGAUGUCAUUUUAUACCACCAACCUGAUAACAAGAAAAAAAACAGGCUUUUGCUUUCUUGAAUAUGAAGAUCAUAAAACAGCUGCCCAGGCAAGGCGUAGGCUAAUGAGUGGUAAAGUUAAAGUCUGGGGAAAUGUUGGAACUGUUGAAUGGGCUGAUCCUAUUAAAGAUCCUGAUCCUGAAGUUAUGGCAAAGGUAAAAGUGCUGUUUGUAAGCAACCUUGCCAACACUGUAACAGAAGAGAGAGAUGGUGCUGUCAAGUUCCAGCUUCCUGGUUUCUGUCUGCCUUAAGUUCUCACCUUCACUGCCUUUACUUGGACUGGAACUUGUAAGAAGAUUAAUACUUUUCCUCCUCGAACUUGCUUUUAGCCAUAAUGUUUAUCACAACAACAAAAGCCAAACUAGAACAAGCCUACAGAUAUGGGAAAUGCAACACUCUUCCCUUUGAAAGACUCAGCCCCUCCCACCCCGUUAUCACUCUGGUACUUACACUCCUGGACCUGGUGGGAUGGCCAGAGGACCUGUGAGCAACCUGGGUACAAUAAUGCACAGCGACACCUUCCUCAACUUCCGUAAACAGUCUCAGGGCUAGAUCUGACUUCUCACUGCUUAGGUAGUUAUUAGAGUCUGAAGCUGUCAAAGAGAACAUAAGAAAUUAUAUGGGUCCAACAAGGGACAACAGAGUGAAUAUGUUUUUAAAAAUAUGUGCAUGUGGGCUGGAGAGAUGGCUCAGCGGUUAAGAGCACCCGACUGCUCUUCCAGAGGUUAUGAGUUCAAUUCCCAGCAACCACAUGGUGGCUCACAACCAUCUGUAAAGAGAUCCGAUGCCCUCUUCUGGUGUAUCUGAAGACAGCUACAAUGUGUACUUACAUAUAAUAAACAACAGAGUGAAUAUGUUUUUAAAAAGAUGUGCAUGUAUGAAACUGUCAUACUUCUGCUAUGUAUGAUCAAGAUGCCACUAAAAAUAUAAGAUUUUUCAAAAAUUUUAAAAUAUAAGAAAGAAACUUGGUCCACUUUGAACACCAGUAAUAAAUGAUUCAGGCUAGGCAUUAUGGGCCAAGCUGUCUACAGCAGAAUUAUCCAAGCCUCUGAAGCCAUUCAUUCCCUGCUUAUGCCUAACAUUAGCCAGUCUGAAUUGAUUGAUUUACUUCACUAUUAACUCCAUCCUCUGAGUAAAAAGCAUACACCCUAACUCUGGCAUCAGAAUAUGGCAAAUGUGGGCUUUCUACUGUUAAGUGACAAGACUUUUCCUGAGGAGACACAACACGUGUCUAUUUACUCCAGAUAGGGAGCCCAUGACAUAUCAAAGUAUGGAUAACAUCUAAAUCCAACUUGGUGAACUAAUGAGUUUCCUUGGGUUAUGUACAGGAAUAUGAGUGAGAGGUUACUUACAGGAGAAUGACUCAAAGACCAUCCCAUAUGGAUGACAGUUCCCAAGAGCUAGGAACCUGGAGUGUACUCUGCAGCCUGCCAGCAGUUCAACAGGUUUUCCUCCUGGCAUUUACUAGGAUUCAUCUCCAUAGAUGCCAAUAUCAGAAUCAAGGGGAUCUAGACUUAGAGGUUUUGAACCUGUUGGCCCCAAACAUCACUGCAUUUGUGUCCCUGCUGUGACCAGAAACAGUUCCAGAGAGCUUCACACACCUUCAAGGCAUAAACUGUGUCUGCCAGAAGACUAUUAGUAAUGUCUUAAAUAGUUACCUAUUCGUAGUGACAAAUAAGGAAAGUAACAUUGGAAAACAGACUAAGCUGUAGUCAGAAACUCGUUCUUCUGACUGCUUUCCCAUGUGCAUUCUGUGUUAUCCCAUGGCAUUCCUAAGAAGCUCCAGUCUCUUCUAUCAGGUUCAGUGUAUUUGACCUUACGCUGAGGUCUCUCGGAUCCAUGUGGAGUUUAAUUUGUGCCAGGAAAUAAGUGUAAAUCUAUUUGUCUUCUACAUGCAACCAUCCAGCUUAACCAGCACUAUUUUUGAAAGAUGCUGUCUGCCAGUGUGUACUUGUGGUUUCUUUAUCAAAUCAAAACUCAACAGCCUAUAAGUGUGUAGACAUGUGUCUGGGUCUUCAGAGAAAGUGGGGAAUAGUCCUGAAUGCAUUGACCCAGGAAAAGAUGUUUCUGAACAGAAUGCCAAUAGCAUAGGCACUAAGAACAAGAUAAAUGGGACUUCAUCCAACUGAAAAGCUUUACAUUGCAAAGGAUAUCAUCAUUCAGACGAAGCAGCAGGUUACAGAAGGGGAAAAGCAGGAUACACAGGUCAGAAUAGUCAGGAUCAGUAAAACAAAUGAUAGCUCAUGCAUGCAAGGAUAUUGAGUAAAGGAAAAGGAAACACUCGUCCAUUGCUGGUAGAAGUAUAAACUUGUACAGCCACUGUGGAAAUUGGUGUGCUGUUCCUCAGGAAGCUGGGACUCGAUAUCCAGCUAUACCACUCUUGGGCAUAUUCCCAAAGAAUGCUUCAUCCUACCACAAGGACACUUGCUCAACUGCUCUAUUUAUAAUAGCUAUAAACUAAAAACAGCCUAGAUGUUCAACAUUGGCUAAUGAAAUGGGUAAAGAAAAUGUGGUGGCCCCUUGUUAAUCUUCUUCUCUUCCUCUUUCUUCUCUGCUUUCCCCCAAUAAACCCUCUUCUUGUGAAAAAAGAAAGAAAAUGUGGUACAUUUAUACAAUGGAAUAUUAUUUAGCCACUGAAGAUGAAAUCAUACAAUUUUCAAUACAUAUUAUGUAUUUACUGUAAUAUUUAGGAAAUGCAUAGAUAAAUGGAGCUAGAAAAAAACUAAUCCUGAAUGAGGUAACACAGACUCAAGAACACAAAUAUUCUAUGUUUUCACUUAUAUGUGGAUGUCAUUUGUUUUAUAAGUCUUUGAUAGGCAAACUUCAGCCCAUAUAACCAGAGAGGUUACAUAGAAAGUAAGGAACCAGGAGGUUGGGAGGGAUCACCAUAAGACAGAGAACUGGAAGAGGUAGUUAUAAAUAGAUAGGAGACAGGUCUUGGAAUGGGAACAUCAAGUGGGAAGGAUGAGGGCGAGUAUAUAGAGAAAGACAGCUAGAACUAAGAGCCACUUGAGUUGUCAUAUACGAACCUAAUACAGUAGAAGCUUCUUAAAAUAUAUACACAUAUGAAGGCUAUCAAAAUGAAGUCAUCAAACUUCAACAGGGGAGAGAGAGUCCCAACUAGAUGUCUCUUAUCACCAAAUGAAGCUUCCAGUAGAAUGUGUUACAUCUAAUCAAGUUGUUGGCUCAAGAGGCCCCUUGGGAACCACCCAGCAACCCAAGCCAUUCUGAUGGUGCUGCCCUAUUGCAGAAGACAAUACCUACACAACAGGUGACAGCACAUGUUGGGUGAGAAUGUGGAGAAAGAGGAACACUCCUCCAUUGAUGGUGGGAUUGCAAACUGGUACAACCUCUCUGGAAAUCAGUCUGACGGUUCCUCAGAAAAUUGAAAUAGCUCUACCUGAAGACCCAGCUAUACCACUCUUGGGUGUAUGCCCAAAAGAUGCUCCAUCAUACCUCAUGCUACACUAAGUUCAUAGCAGUCUUUUUCGUAACAGCCAGAAACUGGAAACAACUCUGUCCCUCAAUUAAAGAAUGGAUGCAGAAAAUGUGGUUCAUUUACACAACGGAGGACUCUUUAUCUAUCAAAAAUGAGGACAUCGUGAGAUUUGCAGGCAGAUGGAUAGAAUUAGAAAAUAUCUUGAGUGAGGUAACCCAGACCCCAAAAGACAUGAAUGGUAUGCCCUCACUGAUAAGUGGAUAUUAACCGAAAAGCACAGAAGACCUAGAAUACGAUCUACAGACUGUAAGAAGUGUAACAAGCAGAAAGGCCCAAGUGAGGAUGCAUAUGUUAAAAAUGAAAAUAUCACACGCCUUACUAACUACACAGCAUUGAUGUUCGAUAAUUAUGUUUAAAGGUUUUGACCUCUCCAUAGAAAGCAGCACACUAGGUUCGGUCCCCAGCUCCGAAAAAAAGAACCAAAAAAAAAAAAAAAAAAAGCAGCACAUACCAUUAUCAACAUUAGGUAUUAUUUAAUUAUUACUUACCACGCAUGGCAUAGGCUCAGGAGGAGCUGUGAGCCAAAUUAUCAAAGUAAAACAAAGAAAAGAAAAGAGCUGAUGUGCUGAAACAGCCCCGUAAUUCUAGGUUGAGGCACAGGACAGUCUGGAAUUCAAGGUCAGCCUGAGUUCACUGUGACAUUUUAUCUCAGAAAUAGAGAAAAGGGGGUUGGGGAUUUAGCUCAGUGGUAGAGCACUUGCCUAGCAAGCGCAAGGCCCUGGGUUUGGUCCUCAGCUCUGAAAAAAAAAAAAAAAAGAAAUAGAGAAAAGGCUUCUGGUCAGAUGGCGCAGUAGAAGCUGCCUCUCUGUGGCCUGGCAAAAACAAACAUGUUAGCCUUAAAAACAACUCGACUCUCAAAGGAGAGAGCGGAGGUGUUUCAGAAAUUCACAGAAGUGGUGACUAGACAGCUUACAAGUUUGGAGACAGAGGAUCAAAGCACCAAGCUCCCAGCUCCAGCCAUGAAGCUCCCAGGAUGGCAAGAAGCAAAAGCUCAUCCAAAGGUAGACCUGAUGCCCCAAGUAAAAGACCACAGGUAUGGGGUUGGGGAUUUAGCUCAUUGGUAGAGCGCUUGCCUAGCAAGCUCAAGGCCCUGGGUUCGGUUCCCAGCUCUGAAAAAAAAGAAAAAAAGAAAAAAAAAAAAAAGACCACAGGUACUACUUUCAGGAUGGGUUAUCAGUGAACAGGAGUCUCUUAUACUCCCUCUAUAUAACUCAGAGGACAUUAACCCAGUGCCAUCCUCACAAAGAAUUUAUUCCUUAAAACUGACUUACUUGAAACCCUGAACACACAAAAGGUAGGACAUCUAAAUUAAACUCCCACAGACCCCUGGGUGAGAGGCAGCCUGAGGGACAGCUACAAAGAACAGGAAAGCUGCCUAGCAAACCCAAAUUGUAUGCAGCAGGAGGCUGAGCGCUGGCAGUGUAGUAUAGCAGGAAAGACAGACCUACGCUCAGUGGCCAGGAACUGACCUCAUCAACAGAAUAACUCCAAACAAUGAGGUCAGUGAGAUGCUGAAGCCAGCAUUCUGCCUGAGAUUUGCCCUUACGGAGUCCAGGAAUUCUGAAGCUCCAGAAUAGUUAACAGCCAAAGCAAUCCACUGCUUCAACAGGGUGAUUAAAGCUUAGCGGCUUUUGAAAGUCCCAAGACAGUACGCUUGUUCAGAUCUCAGUGCUGCACUUGCUUUCCUCACUCCCAAUGCGUUUAGGAGACACCUCCCAGGUAGAACAUUAGCCGUUAGAACUGUGGCUGCCCUCCACUCAAAAAAGGUAGGAGAGAGGCUGGGGAUUUAGCUCAGUGGUAGAGCGCUUGCCUAGCAAGCACAAGGCCCUGGGUUCGGUUCCCAGCUCUGAAAAAAAGAAAAAAAAAGGUAGGAGAACCUGUUCAACCCACAGAGAGGUUAGCAGAGAACCCUGGUAUUCAAAGAAGGGAAAUUAUGAAGUUGGGCUGGAAAGAUGGUUCAGUGGGUAAGAGCACUGACUGCUCUUCAGAGUUUCUGAGUUCAAAUCCCAGCAACUGCAUGGUGGCUCAUAACCAUCUGUAAUGAGAUCUGACGCCCUCUUCCAGUGUGUGUGAAGACAGCUACAGUGUACUUAUAUAUAACAAGUAAAUAAAUCUUUAAAAAAGAUUAUGAAGUCAAGGCUGUCAGCAGAUUUCAGCCCAUCCGCCCCGUCUGGUACACACACACACACACACACACACACACACACACACACACAUACUGUAGCUGUCUUAGACACCAGAAGAGUACAUGGGAUCCCAUUACAGAUGGUUGUGAGCCACCAUGUGGUUGCUGGCAAUUGAACUCAGGUCCUCUGGCAGAGCAGUCAGUGCUCUUAACCACUAAACCAUCUUUCCAGCCCCCUUUUAUUGUCUUUUUAAAGAUUCUGGUAUGUGUUUGUUUAUUUUUCUAUUUUCCUUUUGUUUUGGUCACCUGUGUCUGGUUCCCCUCCACCCUCUUUUUUUUAAAGAGAAAGGAGGUUUACUUUGACAGUUUGAGGACACAGCCCAUUUGUGAUACAGAGACCAUGGAGACAAGAGCAAUUUUGAAUAUUCCAGUAGGUGUAUAAGGCUUCUUGCUAACAGCUGUGCAGACCAGGAAGUACAGAAAAGGAAAAGCCAAAGCUCUUCUGGCUUUCUCUUUUUCCUAUCUUACUUAGUCUGGAUCCUCAGACCAUAAAACAUUGCCAUUCACAUUCAUGACCUGUCUUCACACCUCAGUGUCAAAACCCUUUCAGACGGGUCCAACAGUGUAUCUACUAGAAGACUCAAAAUCCAUUUAAAAUGACAGUUCCAAUUAACCAUCACAUGCCUACGUCUUGUCUACUCCACGCCCAAAUCCAUCACAUUUAAAUCAAGUACUGCUUGGAUGGAGAUGCUCUGCAUGAAUGCAAAUGCACAAUGUUGUUGCCAGAAGACAGACUGAAAAAUCUCUGGGGUUAGAGAGAUGGGUUGCAGUUAAGAACACUCGAUCCUCUUCCAAAGGAACUGUCCAUUCCUAUCACUUACAUGGUGGCUUAUAACCAUUUGUAAUCUCAGUUCAAGGGGGAUCCACCACCCUCUUCUGACCUCCACAGGCACCAGGCAUAUAUGUGGUGUAUAGAAUACAUGCAGGCAAAACAUUUACAUAAAUAAAAUUGAAAUAAAUCUUUUAAAAUAAUUAUGAUUUUUGCAUAUGUCUGUAAAAUAUGAAAGGAGAAAGUCAACUCUGAUAGGGGAAGAAGUCUAAAGGAAGGGAGAAGAGGGAACCAAAGGAGGCCAGAUGGAGUACAUACAACAUGAAAGAUGAAGGAGGUGACUUUACUACUUAGUGUGUAUGCACAGACAUACAUGUUUCAUGGCACAUAUAUGCAGACCAGGAGGCAACUUUCAGAUUUGGUUUUGCCUUCCACCUUGUCAGCCCUUGUUUCUGAUGCUGGCUGGCUCCAGGCUAGUUAGACUCUUUCCUGUCUCCACUUCCCAAAUUCCAGUGGGAGUGCAAGGGCUUAUGGGUGCAUGAAUUUUUUAAAAGUCUUCUAGAGACAGAAUUCAAAACCUCAGCCUGAUAACACCUUUCUUCAAUGAGACCAGGAACAUGCUAAAGAUUACACAUGAGGUAAAUCAUUAGACAAUAGAGUUUUUGUUGUUUUGGUCAGUACUUUAAACUUUUUUUUUUUUUGAGACUCGAUCUUGCUAAGCAUUUGAAGUUGACCUGGAAUCUGGAAUUCACCAUGUAGCUGCCCUUGAACUAGCUCUCUGUACUGUUCCACUCCCCCACCUUCACCCCAAUACUGAGAUUACAAAUGGGAGCCUCCACACAUUGCUGACUGUGCUGACUUUCUGAAGAUUGCCUACAACAGAAGUCUGUCAGGAGCAACCAUUGUAAAAAUGUCUUAUGAUAUAAAUACAAGGUGGUUUUCCUUUAGAAACCUUAUUCCUGGCUUUUACGUAAUAAAACUAUAUUUGCUCUGUUCAAACAAAGCGGUGAGAAGGAGAGAAGAGAGGAAACCGCUGAGCUGUUAAGAAGACAAGAGAAAAACACAGUAAUGGGGGCGGGGGUAAAGUUAGUUUAUAGGCCACGCUAGGGCUAUAACUAAAACAAAAUUUUGAAAUAGUGGAAAUUUCACCAUUUUAUGUUGAAAGAGAGAGAUUCAGUCUUUGCCACAUUUUAGUUCAGUUUGACAAGUAGGCUUCAGGACUUCAAAUCACUCGUUGCCACCAUUGGAUUUCAGAAUGCAGAUCCUGGUAGGUCGUAGGAUUGCGAAAGCAAGAUCACAAUGUUACCAGAAAACUUCCUAGGUUGGAAAAGCACGAAUCUUAAAAAAAAAAAAAAAAAAUUCUUCCUCAGAUGAAUAUAGAUAAAAUGAAAUGAGAUUACGAUCAUUGAUUGUUUUGUUUUGUUUUGUUUUGUUGAGGUAGAGCUUCGCUGUGCAGCCCAGGGGCCCUUGAACCCAGGCAUACCCCCCCCCCCCUUUUAGCUUUCCUAGUGCUGAGACUGCCUGCUGAUGUUCACCACUAAAUCAUCUUUCGGGAUCUAAGAAUCAGAAUACCAGGAAUUCUGUUUUAAGACUGCCUCUCCUAGAAAUGACUGUGCAAAUGAGACUGGUACAAUGGUAAUACCAAUAGACAUUAUAGUGGUUUGAAUGAGACUGACCCCUAUAGGCAUGUAUAACUUUAGUCCCUAAGUAAGUGAGCUUUAAGGGAAGGAUCAGGAGGUGUGGCCUUGAAGGAGGUGUGUCAGUAGGGGUGGGCUUUGACCUCUCAAAAAGACUAGCCAGGCCCAGGCCCAGUCUUGCUCCCUCUCCCUCUCCCCCAUCAGCCCAUCUGUAAUGAGAUCUGAUGCCCUCUUCUGGUGUGUCUGAAGACAGCUACAGUGUACUCAUAUACAAUAAAUAAAAUCUUUAAAAAAAAAAAAAAAACUUCACUUCUGGGGUUGGGGAUUUAGCUCAGCUGGGUUCGGUCCCCAGCUCCGAAAAAAAGAAAAAAAAAAAAAAACUUCUAUUCUGGGAAAGAACUCUUACCUUUUCAAAGAUGUGGCCCUGGAAUCCAACCACUUUCCUGCAUCCUAAGGCCACACAAUGUCCAUGUCUAGCACCACCCACUUCGAAAACCACCCCUCUUUCCUUACACUCCUCCAUACCUGUUAAUCCACAUCUACCUCACAUCUUACCUCUGCCCUCUUCAAAUGAACAUCUCUGCUCUGCCACUGAGACAAUGGGAUGCCCCCAGUGGCAACCACAAUGAUUGUUUCUUUUAUCAAACUCAACCACGUUUUAGGGUUGGGGAUUUAGCUCAGUGGUAGAGCACUUGCCUAGGAAGCGCAAGGCCCUGGGUUCGGUCCCCAGCUCCAAAAAAAGAACCAAAAAAAAAACAAAAACAAAAAAAAAAAAAAAAAAACUCAACCACGUUUUAGAAACAUUCAAUCCACUAGACCUGUUUCUCACUGAAACUCUUCAAUUCUGGGAAAUCACAUUCUCUGAUUUUCUCCUCCACGGGUCUCCUUGGCUAGCUUUUCAUCCUCCACUGGAACUCUCCAGUUUCCAGUGUUCUGGGGCCUCUGGACUGCACUCUCCUCUUCUAUUUAUAUCCUUUCCCUGGUGAUCUCACUCCUGUCAUGCUUUAAUUACUUGCUUAUGCCAGUGACACUCAAGCCACUCAACCUUGCCCCUGAACUUCAGACUCAUGGAUCAAUAUCCACAAAUAGGAGACAUUUUCUUUGAGUUCAUUAACUUUACUGUUUUUGUUUUAAUUCUCAUAGGAUUGCCAGUGGUAUGUCUUGUUGUCAUGAAACCUCACUAGAGGGGGUAGUUCUGACUAGAGGGGGUGGGAAGUAGGGAUUACUCUACUGGCAAGAAAGGAUCUGUCUUAGGGUCUUACUGCUGUGAGCAGACACCAUGACCAAGGCAAGUCUUAUAAAGGGCAGCAUUCAACUGGGGCUGGCUUACAGGUUCAGAGGUUCAGUCCAUUGUCAUCAAGGCAGGAGCAUGGCAGCAUCCAGGCAGGCACGAUGCAGGAGGAGCUGAGUUCUACAUCUCCACCCGAAGGAAGCCAGGAACAGACUGAGUAAGCAUCCUCAGGCAGCUAGGAGGGGGAUCGCCAAGCCCACCCAGGCAGUGACACACUUCCUCCAGCAAGGCCACACCUUCUAAUAGUGUCAAUCCCCGGGCCAAGCAUAUGCAAACCAACACAGGAUUGUUGAACUUUUAAGAUUUUCCUGCUUUGAAUGAAUUGUGUGUAUCAUACUUAGCUUGGUGUGCAUAUUUUCCUAUGGUUUAUCUGAAAGCUGCCAUAAUAGCAUUGAUCUUACACGUUUAUUAUAUAACCACUUCUUAUAAGUACUACGUUUUCCAAAGCUAGCUACUGCAAGACAUCUGCACACACUGUGGUACUAACUCCAGGCCACUGCAUCAACCCCUACAGUCCCCAGUCAGCCUCUGCCCACUAGCCUUUCUAUGGUCCAGACUUUUCUCUUGGAGUUCAGUUUACAAUUCUGAUGGUCCACUGGGCAAAUGUAGCCAAGUGUAGCAUCUACAAUUUAACCAGAGGGAAGGUUCUCAGCAGUUAAAAGCAACUAGCUGCUCUUCUAGGGGACUUGGAUUCAAUUUCCAGCACCCACGUGGUGGCUCACAGCCACCUGUAACUCCAGUCCAGGGGCUCUAACACCUUCUUCUGGCCUUCCCAGGCACUGCACGUGCAUGGCACUCAGAUGUACAAGCAGUCAAAACACCCGUCCGUGCACAUGCAAAUACAUAAUUUUCUAAAAAUGCAACAACAGCAAAACUACAUCAUCCUCUUGUCCUUCAUCUCAAAUUUCUGUGAGUCGGGGCUGGGGAUUUAGCUCAGUGGUAGAGCGCUUACCUAGGAAGCGCAAGGCCCUGGGUUCGGUCCCCAGCUCCGAAAAAAAGAACCAAAAAAAAAAAAAGAAAAAAAAAUUUCUGUGAGUCACUGGGGCCGCCAUUCUCUUCCCUGCCACGGUCCACUCUGCCUCUUUUCUGUUCCCAUUGUUCAUCAUCGCUGCCUCCCGUGACGUCAGCGACAGCGCACUUUGAUGACAUGGUUAUGAGGCUGGAGUCAAAGUAAUUUUGAGACAUUAGUUAGGUCAGAUCUUUAUGCAUCUUCCUCCUCCUUUUUUUUUUUUUUUUUUUUUUGGUUCUUUUUUUCGGAGCUGGGGACCGAACCCAGGGCCUUGCGCUUCCUAGGCAAGCGCUCUACCACUGAGCUAAAUCCCCAGCCCCCCUCCUUUUUUUUUUUUAAGAUGUAUUUAUUUAUUAUAUGUAAGUACACUGUAGCUGUCUUCAGACACACCAGCAGAGGGCAUCGGAUCUCAUUACAGAUGGUUGUGAGUCACCAUGUGGUUGCUGGGAAUUGAACUCAGGACCUCUGGAAGAGCAGUCAGUGCUCUUAACCGCUGAGUCGUCUCUCCAGCCCCUUCCUCCUCCUUUUUAAAGCAAAGUGUGAUAAUUUGGAAAUUCAGUGUCUUCCAAGACCUCAUGUGUUAGAGGGCUGGUCCCCAUGUUGGCAAUGCUGGAAGCAGCUGUACCUUUCCAUUACUAUGACAAAGUACCCAAGGACAGCAAAUUAAGGGAGCACUUAUUUUGGCUCAUGUUUUGAGCGUGUAAACUACCAAUUAGGAGAAAGGGUGACAGCAAAAAAUGGCUCAACUUUUGGCAGCAGGAGUGUGAAGCAACUGGUCACACGGCCCGCACAGUCAGGAAUGAACACUGGUGCCCAGCUGGCUUCCCUCCCUCUUGUGCAGUUUUUUUUUUUUUUCUUUUUUUCUUUUUUUCGGAGCUGGGGACCGGACCCAGGGCCUUGCGCUUCCUAGGCAAGUGCUCUACCACUGGGCUAAAUCCCCAACCCCCCCAACCCCUUCUUGUGCAGUUUUUAUUCUGUCUGGGAUCCCCUACUCCCCAGGGGUGAAGCCAUCACAUUCGGGGUUUUCUUCUCUCCACUGUUCAACUUCUCUGGAAACAUCCUCACAGAUACACCUCUCCUAUAUCCUAUAUCGAUACCAUUUUAAUAUCCUUCCAAGUUGACAAUGAACAUUACCCAGCCCCAUGGUAAAAACUUUAAGAAGCAGGUGACCAAGCCUUUAGGUCAAUGGAGGGAGACUCUGGGGCUCUGGCUUCUUUCGCUUCAUUUCCUGGCCAUGGGGUGAGUAGUUUUGCUAAGUUAAGCACUUCCAACAUAACCACCAACCUUACCACAGGCCCAAAGCAAUGGAGCAACUAGUUCUGGGCUAGACAGAGAGUUCAAACCAUGAGCCGGAAUGAAGCUUUUCUCUUUACAACGCUGGUUACCUAAAUCAUUGGUUCUUCACCUUCCUAAUUCUGCGCCUUUUAUACAGUUUCUCAUGCUGUAGUGACCUCCAACCAUAAAAGUGUUCUCAUUGCUACUUCAUAAUUUUGCUACUGUUCUGAGUCAUAAGGUAAAGAUUUUUGUACAUAGAGGUUUGUCAACAGGGUUUCAACUCACAGGUUGAGAACUACUGAUCUUAAUUCACUUGUUAUGAGUGUUGAAAGCUAACACGAAAUCAUUGUGAAGAUGAUAUUCAUCUACUGACCUUCAAAACCUAAUACUGUGGCUGUGGAGAUGGCUCUGAUAGGUAAAGAAUUGGCUUUUUGAGCCCAAGGACCCCAGUUUGAUUCCACAUAAAGAUGAUGUUAGUUGUGAAACAUGACUAUAAUCUCAGAGCUGAGAGGUAGAAAAGGAAGGAUAUACAGUCUCAGCCAGUAGAGCCUAAUUUGUGACCUCCAGAUCAGUAAGAGACACUGUUUCAAAGGAGAUAAAUGGUGUUCAUGAGGAUAACUACUAAGGGUGUCCUUUAGCAUUCACAUGCAUGUGCGUACCUGAGCAUAUAUAUUUAAAAACAACCAAAUUAAUACCACAGGCUUGAAAUGUAGCCCAGAGGCACAGUACUUAAUCAGACGCUGUAACAAACUUUACCAUAUGUGAUUCUGUUCCCUACCUUCUUUUCUAUGGCAAACAUUAUGUGAUGUUCCUCACAAUCUCUUACCCAGAUGACUUUUAUUUAUUUAUUAUCAUUACUAUUGAGCGUGUGGAUGAUGGGGAGGGGGCAUGCAUACCACAGCACAAGUAUGCUGACCAGAGGACAACUGUCAAUGGACUGCAAAUGCACAAAUAAUCUUAAUAAGCUAAAAAUGCUACAAAAUAAAGACCUGAAUUUCCAAAUUGGUAAAAUAUCCAAAUGUUGUAUGGCUAUCCAUACAUUCAAAUUACUUUGAAUUUUAUGUUUGACGCUGUCAAUCCGCAGAGAAUUUAGGAGGGAAAAACUUAAAAAUAACGAAGCUAUGUGACCUUAGGCCAAUUGGCUGCUUUUGACCUGCUUCCUCCUCUGUAAAACGGAAUGUUUCUCAUGAUUGUCUCAGUAUAACUGUCACUAGUGUCUGAUACCAAGGAGGAGAGGUAGGGGUCGGGUGUUGAACCUGGCUGGGCGCCCAAGCAAGGUUUGGAUAAUGUGCACGAGACAGCGUGGCCCUCUGCAGACCAGCGGUCCCACCAGAGUGUAGGAAAGAUAAACGGAGAGCUUUUCGAUUUUCACCCGCGUAGUUCUGUCCUCCAAGGUACUUUCAGCGGCCGGGCUGAAUACACAGCACAGGGCUGGUCACCCGAGCAGCCAAGCUCCUCCACCAGCCACGCGCAAAGGCGCCAGCGCGGCGAAGUCAUGGCCACUCCCAGCCGCCGACCGUCCGUGCCGACUAGGCUCGAAGCAGGCAGUGACCUCGCCUCCAACUGCGGCAGUUCGUUUGAAUUCUGGCGCCACUCCCACGCCACGUAGAGCCCAGCGGCCCGCCAGACUCUGAAGAGACUGGUGGAGGCGAGCCAGCGGGAGCGCGCGAAGAAAUAGACAGGCACGCGGCAGGCGGACGGCGCGCACCACGCCCCGGAAUGGCCCGGAAGAAAAGAGAGAGUCCAGGCGCCGGCUCCCACGCGUUGCUUCAAGAAAAGCCACGCCCCCACGUGCAACCGCGUCCAAUCGGUGCAAGAAGGAGGAGCAGCCUCGAUCUCGCGCAAAGGGAGCUAUAAAAGGAGCUGCGGGGCGCCAGGCUCUUUCUUUUACGACGGAGCUUGAGUUCGCUGUUUGUGGUGUAGGGACAAUGGCGCCAUUGUUCUUCGCGUCUUCAAAGCAGUUUCCAGAGGAAACAAAGAUGGCGGGGAGCUCAAAGCAUCCGAGAGAAUUCGUGAAGGGAGGAAAGUUGCUUAAAACUUGACCAUGUUAAAGUUCUUACUCCUGGCACGUCAUGAUACUUUCUGCCAGCAGUGAAUGCCAGCCCAUUGAGAUGCCCGUCCUCUGGGAAGCUCCUGGAGCAGAAAUGCAUGGCCAGUGAGAGGAGACUUCUUGCGAAGGAAAACUGGAUGUGGUGAUGUUCAGAAAAAGCAGACACAAGAAGCAAAUACAGAGUAUUAGUACUGGGAUGUUUGAGAUGGGGUCUGCAUGGCCCUUGCUGUGUCCCUCUUAAACUGUCUAGUGGAUGGGACAGCAUCUGGUAUGGCCUGCAGAGUUGAGCCUUGUGUAUACCUUUUGAAGGCUCUAUGUUAAUGUAUGACAGAGUGUUCUAUUCUGGGAAGGUUAUGGGUGAGCUGAGGAUACAACUUUACAGACUAAGCACAAUGAGUGUACAAUUACUGUAAAAAAGGCAGUUCAACAUUUUUAUUGGUUAUGAAUUGUUUCCUUAUUCAUCCAACAGUGAUCACUUGGGAGUGCUGCAAUAAACAUUCAGCUGCAAA
Molecule: non-coding RNA, 14410 nt
Organism: Rattus norvegicus (Norway rat)
Lineage: Eukaryota; Metazoa; Chordata; Mammalia; Rodentia; Muridae
Source: RefSeq, a predicted model, not a curated record